GCGCGAGUCCCGGUUCCGGCAGCGCACCCCGCGGGCGGCCGCCCCGUCCUGCUUCUCUCGGCCGUCAGGUCCCGGGGCCGCCCCGUUCCCCCGUCCCCCUCUGUGCCCGAGGCCGCCCCGUCCCCAGCUGUUCCCUUCUACGCCCGGGGCCGCCCGGUCCCCAACUGUCCCCUUCUACGUCCGGAGCCGCCCGGUCCCCAACUGUCCCCUUCUACGCGUGGGGCCGCCCCGUCCCCUACUGUCCCCUUCUACGCCGCUCUGUUCCCCUACAUCCCCCGGUCCCCCUCUCUUCUCUAACCUUGGGGUUCCCCUCUCUGUCCCCCUCCAUCCCUGAGCCCCUCUCUGUCCCCAUCGAUUCCUACGUCCCUUCUCUCCCCUCUGUCCUCAGGUCCACCAGAGUGGGGGAGGGGAGCACGGAGGCUCCCCUUGGAAUUGGGAGAAACGUGUUUAUCUUGUAGAGGGCGAUCUCAGCCCUCACCAAGGUUAACAGCUAGGUUUUCCCAUGAAUGUGUAAACAAUUUAAAUUAGGUGGAAGCCGACAUUUAGUGUGUGUGUGUGUUUUUCCAUAUAAAUUAUCUCCGAAAAUAUACCGUCAUGUUGAUUUUUAAGAAAAAUGUCGAGAACGCUAACCAGAGCAUUUUUAAAUCCAAAAUGGGAAACUGAAUUGUAACUGUAUUAUAGUUUUUGUUUCAAAAUAAGAGUUUAACGGACACUAAACAUUUUGAAAGAAUGGACUAGGAAAAAAAAAAAGGGUUUUGUAUGUUUAAUUUUAGAGAGUCCGGCAGAAGCCUGUGGCUUAAGACUAGGUGGGGACCUUAGUGAGUCUGGAGUGGAGAAGGGUGGUUUGUCUUGUACCUGUGGUAUGUGGGCUGUGAAGGUUGUGCAGAGUGAAUUGACAGUGUUCUUGGCCAGUGUUCAUCACAUUUACCCCAGCAACCGAGAGCCAGGACCAGCCCUCCUUGGGGACCUGUACCUUAACUGUUUCCAGGAAUGCAAAUGGCUUUGUUUUGAACCAUCUACAGAUUUACCCAAGUGCCCACUGACCGGGCCCCAGUAACUGGCAGCCAAGAGCGUUUGGGCAGCCGUUGUGUUGGGGGCAGGGUUCGCUCAGUAGUUAGCGCUUGUGACCUUGGCCCCACUAGUUCCAAAGUAAGCAGGAGUGUGGAGCAAGUCCCCCGCUGAGGGCCAGGCACCCUGGAUCAGGGGGAGCCGGAGAUGAAGGGGAAGGCUCUGUGUGGGCCAGAGAGGCCAGGAUGGCUGCCUCUGCAAGAUGAGUGAAUGCAGACAGAAAAAUGAAAUCAACUUUGCAGGCCACAAAGCAAAUCAGAGACAGAGUUGGACCUCGAGUUGUCCAGUAACCCCCCAGGUGCUUCCUCCUCCUGCUCCUCGCUGAAGAUCCUUGCUCUGUUUUCACUCUCGCAGUCUUGGAGAGAACAUAGUCAGCUCCAUUUCUUGGGCGUGACCCUCGUUCUCUGCUCACCUUGAGCCGCUCCAGUCUCUGCCACUGUCUUCAAGAGGCAUUUAACUAAAAGAAUUAAAAGAAUAUGGCCAUAAAGAGAUUUGGUCAACCUCAUUCAUAGCAGUUUAUCCGCAAUAGUCAAAAACUGGAGCCUGUCCAGGAGUCAAUGACCGGAAGAUGUGGUGAAUUGUACGAUGUGUGGCUGCUCAUCAACAGAAGAGCCUGCAGCAACACGAGUGUGUCUCAGACGCAUUUGGCCUCACAUGCAAGAAUGCCUACUGCAAGAUUCAUUUUGAUUACAUUUUAGAAGAUGCACAACUGAUGUUUAAAGAACCAGCAUGUCAGUUGCCAUGGUGAGCAGGGGUGGAGAUUGACUUGAAAGGGCAUGAGGGGGCUCUCUUGACCUGGUGGGCAUGUUUAAUGUCUGGAUAAAGGUUUGGGUUACACAGGAGAUUACAUUUUUCCCAAACUGAUUGGCUGAUACUUAAGAUUUGUGCAUUUAACUUUCUGCAAAUUUACCUCCCUCUUCCCCACCAAAAAGAAGAGAGCCAUAGACAAAUAUUGAACUCACAGUAAUAACAUGCAAGCUGCAGUGUUCAGAGGGGAAGCAUGCUAAGGCAUACUGUAUGCUUUGAAACUUCAAGAAAUUGAGAGAGAGAGAGAAAAAGGGGAAGGAAGAGGAGGAGGAGGAGGGAGGGGCAGAUGGCUUGAAGGAUGGAUCCGUGAUUGAUGCAUGGGUGGAUGGAUUUAUAUGCCACAAAGCAAAUAUAGUAAAAUGGUAAUUUUCGAAUCCCAGUGGAGGGUGUUUGGGUGUUCACUGAUCCUUUAAACUUCUCUUUAUAUUUGAAAACGUUUCUGAUAAAAAGUUGGGGGGAAAUAUGCUAGAGCAGGGAACAUUGGGUGCCCUGCUGCAGUGCACCUUGGUUAAUGAGAUCUGGCUCCAAAUUCUGAAACGUAAUAGCCAUGGGACUUGGGUAAGUUAUCCAGCACAUCUAAACCUCAGUUUCCUAGCCUAUAAGAUAGGCUAAAAAUUAUGCCUGCUGCCUGUACCUGCUCUCUAGGCACUCUACAGGCCCUUCUUUGGUACUAAGUUAUUCCUCCUAACAGCAUACCAUGGAGGCCAUUUCUAUUGAACACCCUGCUGUACAGAUGAGACUGAAGCUGAAAGGGAGAUGAAGAGAGGAGCCAGGAUUUGUCUGGGGUACCUUUGGUUCCAGGCUUGGCAUUUUUGCUCACCAUGCUCAGGGCCUCAUAAUUUCGACUGAACCAUUUUGUUGAAACCUAUGUUGAUGUUGAGAGGAAGACUUAAAGCCAGGUUAUUUUGGAGUUAACUUUAGAAUCCCUGUCUUUGUAACUAAUUAUAGCUAUAGCAUGCAGAUUUAAGGCAUCUAAUGAGUCAGAGUAGAAAGUUCGUACUUGAAUAGAGUGUAUUAGUCUCAUGUGGCUGCUGUAACAAACACCACAAACUUAGUGGCUCAAAACAACUGAAAUGAAUUCUCUCAGAGUCUGGGGGCCAGAAAUCUACACUGAGUCAUGGGCAGGACCAUGCUCUUUCUGGAGGCUCCAGAGGAGAAUCGGUUCCUUGCCACUUUCAGCUUCUCGUGGCCGCAUUACUGCAGUCUCUCCUCUGGUCAUGUUGCUGCCUCCCCUUCUAUAGGUGUCAAAUGUAUCUCUCACUUCCCUUAUAAGAACACUUGUCAUCGGACAUAGGGCCACUUGGAUAAUGCAGGAUACGCCCCUGUCAACCUGCUGAAUUUAAUUACAUCUGCAAAGAUCUGUUUUCCAAGUCAAGCCACGUCCACAGAUUCCAGUGACUUAACAUGGAUAUCUUUGGGGAGGCCAUCUCUUUGUUCUGCCACACUCAGCAAAACCAUAUAAAUUAACGUGUGUUCAAUAGUGCUUAGCAGUAGAAUAAUGGACUAAAUAUUGCAAGAUAUUAUAGGCAAGAGGUAAGAAGACUGUGGACAAUCACAGUAAAUCUUAAGCUGAUAUCAUAAAGCCAGACUCAGUGGAAACAAGUGUGAAGACUACAGCAUUUCCCAGUAACUUGAUAUGGAUUAUUUAAUGUAAUCCUCAGGAUGGCCCCACCACCUCCAUUGUGAGUAACGAGGAAACCGAGGCACAGGAAGUAUUUAUCUGGCUCAGCCACCCAGCCUUGUUAAGGAAAGGUCAUAAGGAAAGGUGACUACUCGGUGUUCCACAUUGCAACCCUCUGAGAUAAAUGCCACCAUAAUCUCUGCUGUAUAGACCUGGAAACUGAGGUGGGGGAGAGGAACUAACAUGCCAGAGGUCACUGACUGUCAGGUCACUGACUGUCACUGACCGGCCGGUAGAGGAGGAGGGAGUCCAGGAGCUCACAGGGCAGCUCUGCAGCCUUGGACAGAGUAACGGGCAGGGAUUUGAACCCGGGAUUCUGAGCCCAGAGGCUGAGGCACAGCCACUGCUGUGUAAUAGUAACCAAGAGAAUUGAAAGAGAAGGUUGCAGACUUGUUUCCAAGGAUUAUCAUUAGAACUUGGCACCAGGGAGAUGAGGUGAGCCAUGGUCCUGUCUCCAAGGAGGCCGCAGUGGGCUGCGAGUCCUGCAGAGGACACUUUAGUGCUUCACUGUGCUCUCGGGCCAGAUGCCCUUGGCACUAGGAAGUGCUGUGGUACCCCUAUGGGGAUGGUCACUCAUCCGAAUGCCGCUGCUUCCUCCAUGCCCUUCUAAGUUAGCCAGGAGUGUGUCUUCCCUUGUAUUCACUGAGAGCCUGUGCACCUGUCCCUUGGACUUCCCCAGUGCCCUGAGCAGCACCCCCCUUGCUGUCCUCCCUCACUUUCUGCAGCAACCACGUGGUGCUCUCAUUGCGGAUCCUGAGGAUUCUGCACUGGUCUCCCUGGGCGCUAUGGAUCCUGCAGUCUUGGUGGAUUGCUCUGCCUUCCUCCUAGGUCUGUGAGCUUCUAAGGGAAGGGAUUGACUUCCAUCUCCACAUCCCAUUGCCACUAUGGGACGUGCAGAAGUGGACAGAGUUGAUAGCUUGAGUCGGAAAUGCAACUCAUUUAACUUCCUGCAGAACGGUGCUUGGGAGGUAAACUCCCUGAGUUUUUGCCUGUCUAUAGGGGUACUGUUGUCUUUUAUGUCUUGUAUUACAGCUGUUUGUGAAUAUUUCUCUUCCCUCCUAGACUCAGUUGCUAGGAAAUAGUAAUUGAGUCUUCAGCAUCUUUCUUCCCUUUGCAAAUGUCAGCAAGCACUCACCUUAAGAGUUUUAAAAAGUACUAGUGUUAUCUAUUAGUCUAUAAAGCAGCCUUUAGAAAUUAAGAUUCAGAACUGUUAGACUUUAUAAGAAGGCAAAAAGAAAAGGGAAGAUUGCCAAAGAUUGGUGAUUGAUACAUUUGGUAUAAAUCUAAAACCCGUCAUUGAGUAUUAAGUUGUUAAAAAAAAAAAAAAGGUAGGGAACAUGAAAAAAAUUACAGCUGGGUUAAAAGAAUUGAAGCUGACAAUUGCAAGUAAGAUUACAGUUUACCCCUGUAAAUUAAAUAAGUUAUGGUUAUAUUUGCUUCUGAAUACUUUUAAUCUUACUUUGGUCAACUGUAUUCUAAAUAAAAUGAACUACCAGUAAUGCCUUCUAAAAACUUAGCAAUCACUAAAAAUUUUCCAAGGAAAUUUCACAAGGACGGGAAACUGGUAGAUGGUCUUCAGGUUUGAAGCACCUGCAAGUAUGUAAUACACUAUUUAAAUAAACAAAUGAACCCUACUCAUA
Molecule: non-coding RNA, 5196 nt
Organism: Macaca mulatta (Rhesus monkey)
Lineage: Eukaryota; Metazoa; Chordata; Mammalia; Primates; Cercopithecidae
Source: RefSeq, a predicted model, not a curated record